UUAGAUCGUACCCACACUUACUUGGAUAACUGUGGUAAUUCUAGAGCUAAUACAUGCAAACAGAGCUCCGACCGGAGACGGAAGGAGCGCUUUUAUUAGAUCAAAACCGAUCGGUGGUGGGUUCGCCCAUCAUCGUACAAUUUGGUGAAUCUGAAUAACUUUAAGCUGAUCGCACGGUCUCGCACCGGCGACGCAUCUUUCAAAUGUCUGCCUUAUCAACUGUCGAUGGUAGGUUCUGCGCCUACCAUGGUUGUAACGGGUAACGGGGAAUCAGGGUUCGAUUCCGGAGAGGGAGCCUGAGAAACGGCUACCACAUCCAAGGAAGGCAGCAGGCGCGCAAAUUACCCACUCCCGGCACGGGGAGGUAGUGACGAAAAAUAACGAUACGGGACUCAUCCGAGGCCCCGUAAUCGGAAUGAGUACACUCUAAACCCUUUAACGAGGAUCAAUUGGAGGGCAAGUCUGGUGCCAGCAGCCGCGGUAAUUCCAGCUCCAAUAGCGUAUAUUAAAGUUGUUGCGGUUAAAAAGCUCGUAGUCGAAUCUGUGUCUCGCGCCGUCGGUUCAUCGUUCGCGGUGUUAACUAACGUGCCGCGGGACGUCCUGCCGGUGGGCUUAGCUCGAGAGGGCGGCCCAAAUCAAUCCUGCCGCGGUGCUCUUCAUUGAGUGUCGAGGUGGGCCGGCACGUUUACUUUGAACAAAUUAGAGUGCUUAAAGCAGGCUAAAUUUCGCCUGAAUACUGUGUGCAUGGAAUAAUGGAAUAGGACCUCGGUUCUAUUUUGUUGGUUUUCGGAACCCCGAGGUAAUGAUUAAUAGGAACGGAUGGGGGCAUUC
Molecule: ribosomal RNA, 831 nt
Filed under: Octotemnus laminifrons
Lineage: Eukaryota; Metazoa; Arthropoda; Insecta; Coleoptera; Ciidae
Also listed under: 2 other names
Description: SSU rRNA
Rfam family: Eukaryotic small subunit ribosomal RNA
Source: RNAcentral